RNAcentral lists this long non-coding RNA (502 nucleotides) under Rattus norvegicus (Norway rat). RNAcentral describes it as "long non-coding RNA NONRATT010205". Lineage: Eukaryota; Metazoa; Chordata; Mammalia; Rodentia; Muridae. The record is from RNAcentral.
AUCACUCCAGCUUUUUGUUUGUUUGUUUUUUGUUUUGGUCCUGGGAAUUGAGCCCAUGGGCCAUGAGUGCUUUUUAAGGGCUCAGCCACUGAGCAAUAUAUUGGUUUCAGUCAUUGCAAUUUUAGAUAAUAAACACAAGUUAUUACUGAGAGAUAGUUCUAGCUAAAAUCAAGACUGGUUUUCGUUGGGCUUAGCCCCCAAAAUUUGAGAAAGUUAAACAGAAGAUAAUGAAAAAGAUAAGGCUUGCAGUUUUUUAAAAAAUGAUACAUUCUAUACCAAUUUGUACCCCAUGGACCAUAACAGUGAAAAGAGUGUUUUCAGUUAAGUUGAUGGUCUUCCACAUGGUAUUUUGCUUUGAAUAGGUGUGUUACCUGACUGCUUAACUGACGGGGCAGAUGUGGUCAGUGAUCUUGAACAAGAAGAGAUGAAAAUUCUAAGAGAGGUCCUCAGAAAAUCAAAAGAAGAAUAUGACCAGGAGGAGGAAAGGAAACGAAAAAAGCAG